This 735-nucleotide ribosomal RNA is filed under the name Cavernicola pilosa. RNAcentral's name for it is "SSU rRNA". It matches the Rfam family "Eukaryotic small subunit ribosomal RNA", at positions 511 to 1163 of the family's 1831-position model. Lineage: Eukaryota; Metazoa; Arthropoda; Insecta; Hemiptera; Reduviidae. The record is from RNAcentral.
GGAAUGAGUACACUUUAAAUCCUUUAACAAGGAUCCAUUGGAGGGCAAGUCUGGUGCCAGCAGCCGCGGUAAUUCCAGCUCCAAUAGCGUAUAUUAAAUUUGUUGCGGUUAAAAAGCUCGUAGUUGGUUCUGCGUGCCGCGCUGUCGGUUCGCCGCCUGUCGGUGUAACUGGCAUGUCGCGGCAUGUCCUGUCGGUGGUGAACGGAGUCCAUAAUGCGGCAAAGGCUUUUUAGCCGAUGUUGUCAUCGUGUGCAUUCCGUUGGCCGAUCUCCUACUUCGGUGCUCUUAAACGAGUGUCGAGGUAGGCCGACACGUUCACUUUGAACAAAUUAGAGUGCUUAAAGCAGGCUGAAAUAUCUGCCUGAAUAGUGGUGCAUGGAAUGAUAAAACAGGACCUUGGUUCUAUUUUGUUGGUUUUAGGAGUGCGAGGUAAUGAUCAAUGUGGACUGGCGGGGGCAUUCGUAUUGCGACGUUAGAGGUGAAAUUCUUGGAUCGUCGCAAGACGCACUAGAGCGAAAGCAUUUGCCAAGUAUGUCUUAAUUGAUCAAGAACGAAAGUUAGAGGUUCGAAGGCGAUCAGAUACCGCCCUAGUUCUAACCAUAAACGAUGCCAGCCAGCGAUCCGCCGAUGUUCCUUUAAUGACUCGGCGGGGAGCUUUCACCCGGGAAACCAAAGCUUUUGGGUUCCGGGGGAAGUAUGGUUGCAAAGCUGAAACUUAAAGGAAUUGACGGAAGG